This 460-nucleotide ribosomal RNA is filed under the name uncultured bacterium. RNAcentral's name for it is "partial 16S ribosomal RNA". It matches the Rfam family "Bacterial small subunit ribosomal RNA", at positions 338 to 795 of the family's 1533-position model. The record is from RNAcentral.
CCUACGGGGGGCAGCAGUGAGGAAUAUUGGUCAAUGGACGAGAGUCUGAACCAGCCAAGUAGCGUGAAGGAUGACUGCCCUAUGGGUUGUAAACUUCUUUUAUAUGGGAAUAAAAUGUUCCACGUGUGGGAUUUUGUAUGUACCAUAUGAAUAAGGAUCGGCUAACUCCGUGCCAGCAGCCGCGGUAAUACGGAGGAUCCGAGCGUUAUCCGGAUUUAUUGGGUUUAAAGGGAGCGUAGGUGGAGUGUUAAGUCAGUUGUGAAAGUUUGCGGCUCAACCGUAAAAUUGCAGUUGAAACUGGCAGUCUUGAGUACAGUAGAGGUGGGCGGAAUUCGUGGUGUAGCGGUGAAAUGCUUAGAUAUCACGAAGAACGCCGAUUGCGAAGGCAGUUCACUGGACUGCAACUGACACUGAGGCUCGAAAGUGUGGGUAUCAAACAGGAUGAGAUACCCGGGUAGUC